This 1442-nucleotide ribosomal RNA is filed under the name uncultured marine bacterium. Its description in RNAcentral is "16S ribosomal RNA". It matches the Rfam family "Bacterial small subunit ribosomal RNA". The record is from RNAcentral.
AACGAACGCUGGCGGCAGGCCUAACACAUGCAAGUCGAGCGCUACCUUCGGGUGGAGCGGCGGACGGGUUAUUAACCCGUGGGAAUAUACCCAGUUCUAAGGAAUAGCCACUGGAAACGGUGAGUAAUACCUUAUACGCCCUUCGGGGGAAAGAUUUAUCGGAAUUGGAUUAGCCCGCGUUAGAUUAGAUAGUUGGUGGGGUAAUGGCCUACCAAGUCUACGAUCUAUAGCUGGUUUGAGAGGAUGAUCAGCAACACUGGGACUGAGACACGGCCCAGACUCCUACGGGAGGCAGCAGUGGGGAAUCUUAGACAAUGGGCGAAAGCCUGAUCUAGCCAUGCCGCGUGAGUGAUGAAGGCCCUAGGGUCCUAAAGCUCCUUCAACUGUGAAGAUAAUGACGGUAGCAGUAGAAGAAACCCCGGCUAACUCCGUGCCAGCAGCCGCGGUAAUACGGAGGGGGUUAGCGUUGUUCGGAAUUACUGGGCGUAAAGCGUACGUAGGCGGAUUAAUAAGUUAGAGGUGAAAUCCCAGGGCUCAACCCUGGAACUGCCUUUAAAACUGUUAGCCUUGAGAUCGAGAGAGGUGACUGGAAUUCCAAGUGUAGAGGUGAAAUUCGUAGAUAUUUGGAGGAACACCAGUGGCGAAGGCGGCUCACUGGCUCGAUACUGACGCUGAGGUACGAAAGUGUGGGGAGCAAACAGGAUUAGAUACCCUGGUAGUCCACACCGUAAACGAUGAAUGCCAGACGUCAGCAAGCAUGCUUGUUGGUGUCACACCUAACGGAUUAAGCAUUCCGCCUGGGGAGUACGGUCGCAAGAUUAAAACUCAAAGGAAUUGACGGGGGCCCGCACAAGCGGUGGAGCAUGUGGUUUAAUUCGACGCAACGCGCAGAACCUUACCAACCCUUGACAUACUUGUCGCGGAUUCCAGAGAUGGAUUCCUUCAGUUCGGCUGGACAAUGUACAGGUGCUGCAUGGCUGUCGUCAGCUCGUGUCGUGAGAUGUUCGGUUAAGUCCGGCAACGAGCGCAACCCACGUCCUUAGUUACCAGCAUUUAGUUGGGUACCCUAAGGAGACUGCCGGUGAUAAGCCGGAGGAAGGUGUGGACGACGUCAAGUCAUCAUGGCCCUUACGGGUUGGGCUACACACGUGCUACAAUGGCAUCUACAGUGAGUUAAUCUCCAAAAGAUGUCUCAGUUCGGAUUGGGGUCUGCAACUCGACCCCAUGAAGUUGGAAUCGCUAGUAAUCGCGGAACAGCAUGCCGCGGUGAAUACGUUCCCGGGCCUUGUACACACCGCCCGUCACACCAUGGGAAUUGGGUCUACCCGAAGGUGGUGCGCCAACUAUUUAUAGAGGCAGCCAACCACGGUAGGUUCAGUGACUGGGGUGAAGUCGUAACAAGGUAGCCGUAGGGGAACCUGCGGGUGGAUCACCUCCUUUCU